CUUCGCCAGCUGAUACCACAAUUGCUGACAGUGACCAGAAAGUCAGCCUCCCAGCAGCCCCUCUCCUGGCUCCACCUUUCCUCAGAGUCUUCGCCAGCUGAUACCACAAUUGCUGACAGUGACCAGAAAGUCAGCGAGCGCCUUGAGGGCAGGACACCUGUCUGUGCUGUCACCAUCUCUCCCCAGAACCAGCGUACAGCUGGCGCUCAGAGGCUCAGCGAGGACAGCCGCGGGAGUGAGUGGGACACACGUUAUACAAGAGGAAACCCUGGGCGCUGACCCUGCCCUCCCAUCCCGGAAGGGUCUCUGAGGAAGUGACGCCCUGAACACAGAGCCGGAUCCGUGGCGACCGCGAAGAAUCUUCCCUUCCCGGCAGAGGCACCAGCCAUGCAAAGGCAGGAAGGCUGCCACACCCCUAGGAAGCUGGAGGCUUUGCACGGGAUGCCCCCCUCUGGCCUGGCUUUCUCCUUUUGUGGAAAGGGAACAGUCGCCCGCCCACCCCCACAAGCGGGGAUGCUGUUCCUGGUGGUGGGUCAGGCCUCUGUGGACCCCCUCGAGUCCUGGAAGAUGAUCGUGUCUGCGGGCUUGGGGAGACGGAGAAGAGAAUGUAGACUGAACAGCUCUCCAACUCCAGACUUUGAGGCAGUAUCCUGAGGUACUUAGAAGGAAAUGACAAGCAGCCUCAUUUACAAUUGAAGGAAACUGAGGUACAACAACAAAAUAAUAAAAUCUAAUGCUUACUGAGCUCUUACUCCAAGCCAGGCACAGUGCUAAGCCCUUUGACCCAAGUUCUUUCAUUUAAUCCCCCCAACGAUCAUCACUGUCGGAAGCUAAUACCGUGACCCCUAUUUUACAAGUGUGGGAAUGAAGACUCGGGAGGUAAGUCAAGACCAUGCCUCCUGUUAAUGGGGGAUCUGGGAUGAGCAUGCAGAUCUGGCUUCAGAACCCAGAAUCAUAAA
Molecule: non-coding RNA, 959 nt
Organism: Delphinapterus leucas (beluga whale)
Lineage: Eukaryota; Metazoa; Chordata; Mammalia; Artiodactyla; Monodontidae
Source: RefSeq, a predicted model, not a curated record